Rosa rugosa (rugosa rose) is the source of this 547-nucleotide long non-coding RNA. RefSeq lists it as uncharacterized. Lineage: Eukaryota; Viridiplantae; Streptophyta; Magnoliopsida; Rosales; Rosaceae. The transcript has 2 exons. The record is from RefSeq and is a predicted model, not a curated record.
UAGAUAAAGCCAAAACCAAAUUCACUGGUCCAAAGAAAACCAAAUACUUGUUGCAGAGAGAGAGGAAGACACAGUAGACGGACGCAGGGCGCCCACAGCAACAGUUGAAAUUUUAUGGAUAACGGAGCACCUUAUAAAGACGUUUCUGAGGAGCUGGCAACGACUAGGGAGUUGCUCAUUGCGAUUUCUCACCCUGUUGGAGAUCAGGUCCGUGAUUUGAGUUUCGUGCCUGUGGACGGGCUUGCAGUGUCAAAUGGUGAUGUAUCGGAGCAGUACCGGUCUGACCUGAUUUCUAUUUCUUAUGAGUCCCCUGAUAUAUACAACUUAUGAGCUUCAACUGGAAAACCAUAAAGAUUACCAAUGCCAAGUUCCCCUUCCGUUUUCAACUAUGAAUAACUCUACAUUGCAAAGUUUUCAAUUGUUUUCCGUCAUUUCUGAUGUCAAAUGUAAAGCAUAAGUUACAUUGAUAGACACCUGGUGUCAUUAGUGUGAUAAACCUUAUAAGGAUAAUGAUGAAUGGUAAUGGUUAUUGGUUUCUCCAUGCUUC